Molecule: ribosomal RNA, 253 nt
Filed under: uncultured bacterium
Lineage: Bacteria
Description: partial 16S ribosomal RNA
Rfam family: Bacterial small subunit ribosomal RNA
Source: RNAcentral
UACGGGGGGGGCAAGCGUUGUUCGGAAUUACUGGGCGUAAAGGGUUCGUAGGUGGCCAACUAAGUCAGACGUGAAAUCCCUCAGCUUAACUGGGGAACUGCGUCUGAGACUGGAUGGCUUGAGUGCAGGAGAGGAACGCGGAAUUCCAGGUGUAGCGGUGAAAUGCGUAGAUAUCUGGAGGAACACCGGUGGCGAAGGCGGCAUCCUGGACCAAUAUUGACGCUGAGGAGCGAAAGCCAGGGGAGCAAACGGG